GGAGAAGUACCCAAGUAGGUCGAAGGGGACGGUUUGCUAAACCGUUAGGUCGGGUAACUGGCGCCAGGGUUCGAAUCCCUGCUUCUCCGCCA
Molecule: transfer RNA, 92 nt
Filed under: Clostridiaceae bacterium
Lineage: Bacteria; Bacillati; Bacillota; Clostridia; Eubacteriales; Clostridiaceae
Description: tRNA-Ser
Rfam family: tRNA
About the family: Transfer RNA (tRNA) molecules are approximately 80 nucleotides in length. Their secondary structure includes four short double-helical elements and three loops (D, anti-codon, and T loops).
Source: RNAcentral